CUUGGAUUGCUACUGGCUAGCCUAGAUACAACAGGUGCUCAAAUAGGAGUUUGCUAUGGAAUGCUUGGCAAUAACCUGCCACCACCAAGACAAGUUAUAGAUCUGUACAAGCAGAAAAACAUCCUCAGAACGCGACUCUAUGACCCAAACCCAAAUGCUCUCCAAGCCCUUGGAGGUUCCAAUAUAGAGCUCAUGCUUGGCCUUGUAAAUGAAGACCUUCAACGUAUUGCUUCCAAUCAAGCUGAAGCAAAUAAGUGGGUGCAAAAUAAUGUACGAAACUAUGGAAAUGUCAAAUUCCGUUACAUUGCAGUUGGAAAUGAGGUGAAGCCCUCAGAUCCAUUCGCAAGGUUCCUAGUUCCUGCCAUGCAAAAUAUUCGCAGUGCACUCAAUUCAGCUGGUCUUGGGAAUAUUAAAGUUUCUACAGCUAUUGAUACUGGAGUCCUUACAGACCAGUCCUUCCCUCCUUCUAAUGGGGCUUUCUGGCAAGAAUAUCGACCAAUUCUUGAUCCUGUUAUUGGAUUUCUUGUGAACAACAAAUCUCCAUUGCUCGUCAACUUAUAUCCAUACUUCAGUUACAUUGGCAAUACUCGAGACAUCCGUCUUGAUUAUGCUCUUUUCACAGCUCCGUCACCUGUAGUCUCUGAUCCAAGAAAUGGACUUAGGUACCAAAACCUUUUUGAUGCCAUCCUUGAUACUGUUUAUGCUGCCUUGGAGAAGGCUGGUGGAGGCUCUUUGGAAAUUGUAGUAUCUGAAAGCGGUUGGCCUACCGCUGGAGGGGUUGGAACAUCAGUUGAAAAUGCAAGAACUUACAAUAACAACUUGAUUCAACAUGUGAAAAGAGGGAGUCCAAAGAAGCCUGGAAAACCCAUAGAAACUUACAUUUUUGCUACGUUUGAUGAGAAUACCAAAGGUGGCGCAGAGUUGGAGAAAUACUGGGGACUCUUCUUUCCAAACAAGCAGCCUAAAUACCCUGUCAAUUUCAAUUAAAACAGCGGAUAUAGCCUAUAAGUUGCAUCUAAUUAGGGACAGUGCUAUGUAUUACUAAAUAAGAGAGCACUGGAAUACCCAAAAAAAUCUUAUUAAUUUUUCAUCAUAUUAAAAAGUAAUUAUAUUUGAUUAUGGAACUUAAAGUUAGACUUAUUGCUUGACUAGGCAAUAAGUCAUCAUGCUCUAAUUCAAAGGAAG
RNAcentral lists this unclassified non-coding RNA (1185 nucleotides) under Hevea brasiliensis (rubber tree). The record is from RNAcentral. Lineage: Eukaryota; Viridiplantae; Streptophyta; Magnoliopsida; Malpighiales; Euphorbiaceae.